Molecule: transfer RNA, 73 nt
Filed under: Medicago murex
Lineage: Eukaryota; Viridiplantae; Streptophyta; Magnoliopsida; Fabales; Fabaceae
Description: tRNA-Gln
Rfam family: tRNA
About the family: Transfer RNA (tRNA) molecules are approximately 80 nucleotides in length. Their secondary structure includes four short double-helical elements and three loops (D, anti-codon, and T loops). Further hydrogen bonds mediate the characteristic L-shaped molecular structure. tRNAs have two regions of fundamental functional importance: the anti-codon, which is responsible for specific mRNA codon recognition, and the 3' end, to which the tRNAs corresponding amino acid is attached (by aminoacyl-tRNA synthetases). tRNAs cope with the degeneracy of the genetic code in two manners: having more than one tRNA (with a specific anti-codon) for a particular amino acid; and 'wobble' base-pairing, i.e. permitting non-standard base-pairing at the 3rd anti-codon position.
Source: RNAcentral
UGGGGCGUGGCCAAGUGGUAAGGCAGCGGGUUUUGGUCCCGUUAUUUCGAAGGUUCGAAUCCUUCCGUCCCAG